RNAcentral lists this ribosomal RNA (253 nucleotides) under uncultured bacterium. Its description in RNAcentral is "partial 16S ribosomal RNA". It matches the Rfam family "Bacterial small subunit ribosomal RNA", at positions 524 to 776 of the family's 1533-position model. The record is from RNAcentral.
UACGGAGGGGGCAAGCGUUAUUCGGAAUUAUUGGGCGUAAAGGGCGCGUAGGCGGCUAGAUGUGUCAAAGGUGAAAUCCCUCGGCUCAACUGAGGAACUGCCUUUGAAACUGUCUGGCUUGAGGCCGGGAGAGGGUAGCGGAAUUCCCAGUGUAGCGGUGAAAUGCGUAGAUAUUGGGAGGAACACCAGUGGCGAAGGCGGCUACCUGGACCGGAUCUGACGCUGAGGCGCGAAAGCGUGGGGAGCAAACAGG